This 393-nucleotide ribosomal RNA is filed under the name Triticum aestivum (bread wheat). RNAcentral's name for it is "partial small subunit ribosomal RNA". Lineage: Eukaryota; Viridiplantae; Streptophyta; Magnoliopsida; Poales; Poaceae. The record is from RNAcentral.
AUGACUUGCGCCAGAAUAGCAUCAUUAAUUGAGAUGCCGCAUGUUGAUCCAUUAAACACCGUCACCACAGGCAUGAAGCAAUUGAACAAAUUUUAUGCACCUUCAGUGAAUGACAGAACAACAUUUUCGUGUGCUCAAAGUUGCCACACUCGCAUAGAAACCGAUCACCCCUCCAUCAACGGUGACCUCAUACACCACCUUGCACCAUUUUGUCAAGCCUCUCCGGAUGGUGCCGCUGCACUAGGUACUUCACGCGUUGCUAAACUGGUUCAACCUUGUACUGCCCUGCUUCGUACAGUAUCUCGCCAAGCUUCUCUAACAUGGGCACUAGUGUACACCUCACUCGCAUGCUGCUCCAAUGGCGUGUUCGCUUUCAUCACCGGUCCUACCUGA